Molecule: ribosomal RNA, 254 nt
Filed under: uncultured bacterium
Lineage: Bacteria
Description: partial 16S ribosomal RNA
Rfam family: Bacterial small subunit ribosomal RNA
Source: RNAcentral
UACGUAGGGGGCAAGCGUUGUCCGGAUUCAUUGGGCGUAAAGAGCGUGUAGGCGGCCAGAUAGGUCAGCUGUGAAAACUCGGGGCUCAACCUCGAGACGCCGAUGGAAACCCCCCUAACUAGAGUCCGGAAGAGGAGAGUGGAAUUCCUGGUGUAGCGGUGAAAUGCGCAGAUAUCAGGAGGAACACCGGUGGCGAAGGCGGGUCUCUGGGCAGUAACUGACGCUGAGGAGCGAAAGCGUGGGGAGCGAACAGG